Molecule: transfer RNA, 76 nt
Filed under: Deltaproteobacteria bacterium
Lineage: Bacteria; Pseudomonadati; Myxococcota; Myxococcia
Description: tRNA-Ala
Rfam family: tRNA
About the family: Transfer RNA (tRNA) molecules are approximately 80 nucleotides in length. Their secondary structure includes four short double-helical elements and three loops (D, anti-codon, and T loops). Further hydrogen bonds mediate the characteristic L-shaped molecular structure. tRNAs have two regions of fundamental functional importance: the anti-codon, which is responsible for specific mRNA codon recognition, and the 3' end, to which the tRNAs corresponding amino acid is attached (by aminoacyl-tRNA synthetases). tRNAs cope with the degeneracy of the genetic code in two manners: having more than one tRNA (with a specific anti-codon) for a particular amino acid; and 'wobble' base-pairing, i.e. permitting non-standard base-pairing at the 3rd anti-codon position.
Source: RNAcentral
GGGGUUGUAGCUCAGCUGGGAGAGCGCUACAUUCGCAUUGUAGAGGUCGCAGGUUCGAUCCCUGUCAGCUCCACCA